GGUUCACUCUGGGGGCGUGCCUAACACAUGCAAGUCGAGCGGGGAACCCUAAGGCCCCUUUGGGGUACGGCUUCCCAGCGGCAAACGGGUGAGUAACACGUGGGUGACCUGCCCCGAAGAGGGGGAUAACCCUGGGAAACUGGGGCUAAUACCCCAUGUGCUUCGUGGGGUUAGAGGACCACGAAGUAAAGGGUGUGGUUAGCCGAAAGGCGCCACGCCGCUUCGGGAGGGGCCCGCGGCCCAUCAGGUAGUUGGUGGGGUAAUGGCCUACCAAGCCUAUGACGGGUAGCCGGCCUGAGAGGGUGUCCGGCCACACGGGGACUGAGACACGGCCCCGACUCCUACGGGAGGCAGCAGUGGGGAAUCUUGGGCAAUGGGCGAAAGCCUGACCCAGCGACGCCGCGUGGGGGAAGAAGCCCUGCGGGGUGUAAACCCCUUUUCGGGGGGAAGAGUAAGGACGGUACCCCCGGAAUAAGGGCCGGCUAACUACGUGCCAGCAGCCGCGGUAAAACGUAGGGCCCGAGCGUUACCCGGAAUCACUGGGCGUAAAGCGCACGCAGGCGGCCUGGUAAGUCGGGCGUGAAAUCUCCCAGCUCAACUGGGAGGGGCCGUCCGAUACUGCUGGGCUUGAGGGCGGGAGAGGGAGGUGGAAUUCCCGGUGUAGCGGUGAAAUGCGUAGAGAUCGGGAGGAACGCCAGUGGGGAAGCCGGCCUCCUGGCCCGUCCCUGACGCUCAGGUGCGAAAGCCAGGGGAGCGAACGGGAUUAGAUACCCCGGUAGUCCUGGCUGUAAACGGUGGGUGCUAGGUGUGGGCGGCGUUGACCCCGUCCGUGCCGAAGGUAACCCGUUAAGCACCCCGCCUGGGGACUACGGCCGCAAGGCUAAAACUCAAAGGAAUUGGCGGGGGCCCGCACAAGCGGCGGAGCGUGUGGUUUAAUUCGAUGCUAACCGAAGAACCUUACCCGGGCUUGACAUGCGGGUGGUACCGAACCGAAAGGGGAGGGACCCGUUUAGGGAGCCCGCACAGGUGCUGCAUGGCUGUCGUCAGCUCGUGCCGUGAGGUGUUGGGUUAAGUCCCGCAACGAGCGCAACCCUCGCCCCUAGUUACAUGUGUCUAGGGGGACUGCCGGCUUAACGCCGGAGGAAGGUGGGGACGACGUCAAGUCAGCAUGGCCUUUAUGCCCGGGGCUACACACACGCUACAAUGGCCGGGGCAAUGGGUUGCCAAGCCGCGAGGCGGAGCUAAUCCCAUCAAACCCGGUCUCAGUUCGGAUUGCAGGCUGCAACCCGCCUGCAUGAAGCCGGAGUCGCUAGUAACCGCAGGUCAGCCAUACUGCGGUGAAUACGUUCCCGGGCCUUGCACACACCGCCCGUCACGUCAUGGGAGUCGGCAACACCUGAAGCCGGUGGCCUAACCCCCGAAAGGGGGAGAGAGCCGUCGAGG
This 1443-nucleotide ribosomal RNA is filed under the name uncultured bacterium. RNAcentral describes it as "bacterial SSU rRNA". It matches the Rfam family "Bacterial small subunit ribosomal RNA". The record is from RNAcentral.